This 410-nucleotide long non-coding RNA is filed under the name Mus musculus (house mouse). Its description in RNAcentral is "predicted gene 13483". The record is from RNAcentral. Lineage: Eukaryota; Metazoa; Chordata; Mammalia; Rodentia; Muridae.
GAGUCUUUGCUUCAUUGACUCUUUGGUACAGUGUGGCCAUAGUUAACAAAGAGCUACAUACUUAGAAUGCAAUCUCAGUGCUUUUCCCGGAAGGCUCACUCUUCUCUUGUAGAAGUCUCUAUGUGCAGCAACCUGACCCAAAGCUGUUAUUAUCCUCAUGAAUGAGCUCAGAAGGAAGAAGUGGAUGCAGCCAGAGGUGCCAACGCGGAAGUACAGGGGAUCCCAGGAAAGAUAACGUCAUUUAAACUAUACCUUCCUGGACUGGCUGGAAUGAAGCCUUGCUGAGAAGAAAGGCUUCAAAUACUUGCCAACUUACUUCAUUAAGAUACUUCAUUGUACUGGAUACCACUGCUGUGUGAUGUGUGCAAACCUUUGCAAUCCUUUCAAAGAACAUCUGCUCAACUGUGCAU